CCCGUGACAAGUCCAGCGAGAAUAACCUUCCACACAACCCAAUGCCAGCACGUGCAUCUGAACAUCUUUAGGCUUCAUCAUGCAUGUGUUUCCACAUUUGCGACAUGGACAACGCAUCAUCACAAGUCCUUUUCGUUCCAUAUCACCUUUCGCGAUUUCAAAAAAGACUGUCCAUUCAGUUAUCCAUUGAGCAUUGAUUCCUUCCUUGGCGUACAUCCAAGAACGGUCCUUCGAUCUAUAACACAAUACACAAGAAAACAAACAA
This 265-nucleotide long non-coding RNA is filed under the name Brachypodium distachyon (stiff brome). Its description in RNAcentral is "long non-coding RNA (BDIS_LNC001265)". The record is from RNAcentral. Lineage: Eukaryota; Viridiplantae; Streptophyta; Magnoliopsida; Poales; Poaceae.